RNAcentral lists this ribosomal RNA (1366 nucleotides) under metagenome. RNAcentral's name for it is "bacterial LSU rRNA". It matches the Rfam family "Bacterial large subunit ribosomal RNA", at positions 1538 to 2925 of the family's 2925-position model. The record is from RNAcentral.
AAGUACGCACACUAAGGCUGGGCCGUUAUGGGGACCGAAAACAAGUAGGGAAGCUGUUGAAUUCACGCUGGCAAGAAAAGCUGCUAAGGAGAAUUGCCGUGCCCGUACCGCAAACCGACACAGGUGGGCGAGGAGAGAAUCCUAAGACGAACGGGAGAACCCUUGUUAAGGAACUCGGCAAAAUGACCCCGUAACUUCGGGAUAAGGGGAGCCUCGAAAGAGGCCGCAGAGAAUAGGCCCAAGCGACUGUUUAGCAAAAACACAGGUCUGUGCGAAGUAGAGAUACGACGUAUACGGGCUGACGCCUGCCCAGUGCCGGAAGGUUAAGGGGAAGUGUUAGGGCAACCGAAGCACGGAACUUAAGCCCCGGUGAACGGCGGCCGUAACAAUAACGGUCCUAAGGUAGCGAAAUUCCUUGUCGGGUAAGUUCCGACCCGCACGAAUGGCGUAACGACUUGGGCACUGUCUCAACAAGGGACCCGGCGAAAUUGUAGUAUGUGUGAAGAUGCACAUUACCCGCGACUGGACGGAAAGACCCCGUAGAGCUUUACUGUAGCUUGGCAUUGGAUUUUGGUAACAUAUGCACAGAAUAGGUGGGAGGCUUAGAAGCAGUGACUCCGGUCAUUGUGGAGCCAACUUUGGGAUACCACUCUUGUGUUACUGAGGUUCUAACGAACGGCCGUGAUCCGGCGUUUGGACAGUGCCAGGUUGCAGUUUGACUGGGGCGGUCGCCUCCCAAAGAGUAACGGAGGCGUUCAAAGGUUCCCUCAGAAUGGUUGGAAACCAUUCGCAGAGUGCAAAGGCAGAAGGGAGCCUGACUGCGAGACCGACAGGUCGAGCAGAUACGAAAGUAGGACUUAGUGAUCCGGCGGUAUGAGAGUGGAAUUGCCGUCGCUCAACGGAUAAAAGCUACCUCGGAUAACAGGCUUAUCUCCCCCAAGAGUCCACAUCGACGGGGAGGUUUGGCACCUCGAUGUCGGCUCGUCGCAUCCUGGGGCUGGAGUAGGUCCCAAGGGUUUGGCUGUUCGCCAAUUAAAGCGGCACGCGAGCUGGGUUCAGAACGUCGUGAGACAGUUCGGUCCCUAUCCAUCGUGGGCGCAGGAGAUUUGAGGGGCGCUGUCCUUAGUACGAGAGGACCGGGAUGGACGCACCAAGGGUGAAUCAGUUGUCGUGCCAACGGCAUAGCUGGGUAGCCAUGUGCGGAGCGGAUAAACGCUGAAGGCAUCUAAGCGUGAAGCCGACCUCAAGAUAAGAUCUCCCAUUCGGUUAACGAAGUAAGACCCCUUGUAGACCACAAGGUUGAUAGGUCGGAGGUGGAAGCGCGGUAACGCGUGAAGCUGACCGAUACUAAUAGGUCGAGGGCUCG